This 253-nucleotide ribosomal RNA is filed under the name uncultured bacterium. Its description in RNAcentral is "partial 16S ribosomal RNA". It matches the Rfam family "Bacterial small subunit ribosomal RNA", at positions 524 to 776 of the family's 1533-position model. The record is from RNAcentral.
UACGUAGGGGGCAAGCGUUAUCCGGAUUCACUGGGUGUAAAGGGAGCGUAGACGGCGACGCAAGUCUGGAGUGAAAGCCCGGGGCCCAACCCCGGGACUGCUCUGGAAACUGCGGCGCUGGAGUACGGGAGGGGCAGGCGGAAUUCCUGGUGUAGCGGUGAAAUGCGUAGAUAUCAGGAGGAACACCGGCGGCGAAGGCGGCCUGCUGGACCGUGGCUGACGUUGAGGCUCGAGAGCGUGGGGAGCAAACAGG